AAAGGUCCUUUGCCAGGUUUCAACACAAGGAUUAAAGGAAAUACAACUUAGCAUGAUUCUUCAUUAUGCCUUCUGAUUGACUUUAAUUAUACUACCAAAUUGGAAAGAAGUUAUUCCUUAAACUGAGAAAACAUCAAUAUGGUCCUCAAUGGGUUGGAUAAUGCUUACCCACAUUGGAGAAGGCAAUCUACUUUACUAAGCUAAUUCAAAUACUAAUCUCAUCCAGAAAUAGUGCCUCACUGAUAAACCCAGAAAUGUUUAAUCAAA
Suricata suricatta (meerkat) is the source of this 267-nucleotide long non-coding RNA. RefSeq lists it as uncharacterized. The transcript is spliced from 2 exons. The record is from RefSeq and is a predicted model, not a curated record. Lineage: Eukaryota; Metazoa; Chordata; Mammalia; Carnivora; Herpestidae.